Molecule: ribosomal RNA, 31 nt
Filed under: Philodendron barrosoanum
Lineage: Eukaryota; Viridiplantae; Streptophyta; Magnoliopsida; Alismatales; Araceae
Description: partial 18S ribosomal RNA
Source: RNAcentral
UUUGGAAGGAGAAGUCGUAACAAGGUUUCCG